GAGCUGGACUAGAAGUUGACAAGUAUUCGCAGGCAAACAUGGAAAAACUACAGGCCAGCAAAGCAAUCAAAGUAGUCGAUGUGAAAACAACCCUCAGUCCUUACCUGUCCAUCGAUCUGUUUACGCCUCUCGGCCUUAAUGAAUGCACCGGGGAGGCUGCAGAGGCGGCAUGACGGAUUAAAGGAGAUUCCUGUCCGCCUAAAUCCACCUUCAUCCUGACAUCAGCUUGACACAUACCAACCGGAUAGAGACCUGCUUCAGACUGGACUAUUCAAAGUUAUCCAGGCAUAUAAAUCGCUGUGUUGCCCUUGAGCAAGAUCCUUAAUGGCUGCAGAGUUCAGUCUGUGUUAUGACAUGAAAUAAAGGUCAAAAAUUGCUCCUUUGAAAUGGAAAACUUCAGUGUAGUAUUUG
This is a long non-coding RNA of Oreochromis aureus, 411 nucleotides long. RefSeq lists it as uncharacterized. The record is from RefSeq and is a predicted model, not a curated record. The transcript is spliced from 3 exons. NCBI's taxonomy places the organism in Eukaryota, Metazoa, Chordata, Actinopteri, Cichliformes, Cichlidae.